GCGCUCAGGCAGCGGCGGUUGGCUGCGGCGCCCGUGCUAGUGCUCCAGGCUCGACGGCUCCUUCACAGCGCCCGCCCGGCCCUGCCGCUCAUGGCCGCCCCGCCGCGCCCCGCGCCAUCGCCCCCCGCCCCGCGCCGCCAGCGGCGCCCGGACACGAGCGACGUCCUGCAGCAGAUCAUGGCCAUCACCGACCAGAGCCUGGACGAGGCGCAGGCCAGAAAGCAUGCUCUGAAUUGCCAUCGGAUGAAGGCUGCUCUGUUCAGCGUGCUCUGUGAGAUCAAGGAAAAGACAGUGGUAAGCAUUCGUGGCAUUCAGGACGAAGAUCCCCCUGACGCCCAGCUCCUGAGGCUGGAUAACAUGCUGCUGGCUGAGGGCGUGUGCAGGCCCGAGAAGAGAGGAAGAGGAAGAGCGGUGGCCAGGGCCGGCACAGCAACACCAGGUGGCUGUCCAAAUGACAAUAGCAUUGAGCACUCUGACUACAGGGCCAAGCUGUCCCAGAUCCGACAGAUUUACCACUCUGAGCUAGAGAAAUAUGAACAGGCCUGUCGUGAGUUCACCACGCACGUCACCAACCUCCUCCAGGAGCAGAGCAGGAUGAGGCCCGUCUCCCCUAAGGAGAUUGAGCGCGUGGUUGGCGCCAUUCACGGCAAGUUCAGCGCCAUCCAGAUGCAGUUGAAGCAGAGCACCUGUGAGGCGGUGAUGACCCUGCGCUCGCAGCUGCUCGAUGCCAGGCGCAAGCGGCGGAAUUUCAGCAAGCAGGCGACGGAAGUGCUGAAUGAGUAUUUUUACUCCCAUCUGAACAACCCUUACCCCAGCGAAGAAGCCAAAGAAGAGCUGGCCAGGAAGGGCGGCAUCACCGUCUCCCAGGUCUCUAACUGGUUUGGCAACAAAAGAAUCCGGUAUAAAAAGAACAUGGGGAAGUUUCAAGAAGAGGCUACCAUUUACAUGGGUAAAACGGCUGUGGAUACCACGGAAGUUGGGGUCCCAGGGAACCAUGCCAGCUGCCUGUCAACACCCAGCUCCGGAAGUGAGGAGCGCCUCUCCCGGCCGCCAUCCCGUAUAGGAAGUGAGGAGCGUCUCUGCCCGGCCGCCCAUCGUCUGGGAAGUGAGGAGCGCCUCUGCCCGGUCGUCCCGUCUGGGAGGUGAGGAGCACCUCUGCCCGGCCGCCCCCUCUGGUAGGUGAGGAGCACCUCUGCCCGGCCGCCACCCCGUCUGGGAGGAAGUGAGGAGUGCCUCUGCCCGGCAGCCCCGUCUAGGAAGUGAGGAGCGCCUCUGCCCGGCCGCCCCGUCUGGGAAGUGAGGAGCGCCUCUGCCCGGCCACCCCGUCUGGGAGGUGAGGAGUGCCUCUGCCCAGCCGCCACCCCGUCUGGGAGGAAGUGAGGAGCGUCUCUGCCCGGCCGCCCCAUCUGGGAGGUGAGGAGUGCCUCUGCCCGGCCGCCCAUCGUCUGGGAGGUGAGGAGCGCCUCUGCCCGGCCACCCCGUCUGGAAAGUGAGGAGGACCUCUGCCCGGCCGCCCCGUCUGGGAAGUGAGGAGCGCCUCUGCCCGGCCGCCCCGUCUGGGAAGUGAGGAGGACCUCUGCCCGGCCGCCCCGUCUGGGAAGUGAGGAGCGCCUCUGCCCGGCCGCCCCGUCUGGGAAGUGAAGAGCGCCUCUGCCUGGCUGCCACUCCGUCUGGGAGGUGAGGAGCGCCUCCGCCUGGCUGCAACCCCGUCUGGGAGGAAGUGAGGAGUGCCUCUGCCCGGCCGCCCCGUAUGGGAGGUGAGGAGCGUCUCUGCCCGGCCGCCCCGUCUGGGAAGUGAGGAGCGCCUCUGCCCGGCCGCCCCGUCUGGGAAGUGAGGAGCGCCUCUGCCUGGCCGCCCCGUCUGGGAGGUGAGGAGCGCCUCUACCCGGCCGCCCAUCGUCUGGGAUGUGAGGAGCGCCUCUGCCCGGCCGCCCUGUCUGGGAGGUGAGGAGCGCCUCUGCCGGGGCGCCCUGUCUGGGAGGCUCCUCUGGACCCUCCCUGCUGCCCAGCGCUGGGGACACCUUCCUCACCCUGCGGACUCUGGCCUCUCUCCAGCCUCCUCCUGGGGGAGGCUGCCUGCAGUCCC
Molecule: RNA transcript, 2086 nt
Organism: Pongo pygmaeus (Bornean orangutan)
Lineage: Eukaryota; Metazoa; Chordata; Mammalia; Primates; Hominidae
Gene: PBX4
Gene name: PBX homeobox 4
Exons: 8
Source: RefSeq, a predicted model, not a curated record